AGAGUUUGAUCCUGGCUCAGAUUGAACGCUGGCGGAAUGCUUUACACAUGCAAGUCGAACGAGACCUUCGGGUCUAGUGGCGCACGGGUGCGUAACGCGUGGGAAUCUGCCCUUGGGUUCGGAAUAACAGUGAGAAAUUACUGCUAAUACCGGAUGAUGACGUAAGUCCAAAGAUUUAUCGCCCAAGGAUGAGCCCGCGUAAGAUUAGCUAGUUGGUGGGGUAAAGGCCUACCAAGGCGACGAUCUUUAGCUGGUCUGAGAGGAUGAUCAGCCACACUGGGACUGAGACACGGCCCAGACUCCUACGGGAGGCAGCAGUGGGGAAUAUUGGACAAUGGGCGAAAGCCUGAUCCAGCAAUGCCGCGUGAGUGAUGAAGGCCUUAGGGUUGUAAAGCUCUUUUACCAGGG
This 408-nucleotide ribosomal RNA is filed under the name uncultured bacterium. RNAcentral's name for it is "bacterial SSU rRNA". It matches the Rfam family "Bacterial small subunit ribosomal RNA", at positions 8 to 444 of the family's 1533-position model. The record is from RNAcentral.